GAUGAACGCUGGCGGCGUGCUUAACACAUGCAAGUCGAACGAAGCACCUUGAUUCGAUUCUUCGGAUGAAGAUCUUGGUGACUGAGUGGCGGACGGGUGAGUAACGCGUGGGUAACCUGCCUCAUACAGGGGGAUAACAGUUAGAAAUGACUGCUAAUACCGCAUAAGACCACAGCACCGCAUGGUGCAGGGGUAAAAACUCCGGUGGUAUGAGAUGGACCCGCGUCUGAUUAGGUAGUUGGUGGGGUAACGGCCUACCAAGCCGACGAUCAGUAGCCGACCUGAGAGGGUGACCGGCCACAUUGGGACUGAGACACGGCCCAAACUCCUACGAGAGGCAGCAGUGGGGAAUAUUGCACAAUGGGGGAAACCCUGAUGCAGCGACGCCGCGUGAGCGAUGAAGUAUUUCGGUAUGUAAAGCUCUAUCAGCAGGGAAGAAAAUGACGGUACCUGACUAAGAAGCACCGGCUAAAUACGUG
Molecule: ribosomal RNA, 479 nt
Filed under: uncultured bacterium
Lineage: Bacteria
Description: partial 16S ribosomal RNA
Rfam family: Bacterial small subunit ribosomal RNA
Source: RNAcentral